Molecule: ribosomal RNA, 350 nt
Filed under: uncultured Gallionellaceae bacterium
Lineage: Bacteria; Pseudomonadati; Pseudomonadota; Betaproteobacteria; Nitrosomonadales; Gallionellaceae
Description: bacterial SSU rRNA
Rfam family: Bacterial small subunit ribosomal RNA
Source: RNAcentral
ACACAGGUGCUGCAUGGCUGUCGUCAGCUCGUGUCGUGAGAUGUUGGGUUAAGUCCCGCAACGAGCGCAACCCUUGUCAUUAAUUGCCAUCAUUUCGUAGGUGGCACUUAAUGAGACUGCCGGUGACAAACCGGAGGAAGGUGGGGAUGACGUCAAGUCCUCAUGGCCCUUAUGGGUAGGGCUUCACACGUAAUACAAUGGUCGGUACAGAGGGUUGCCAACCCGCGAGGGGGAGCCAAUCCCAGAAAACCGAUCGUAGUCCGGAUUGCAGUCUGCAACUCGACUGCGUGAAGUCGGAAUCGCUAGUAAUCGCGGAUCAGCAUGUCGCGGUGAAUACGUUCCCGGGUCUU